Molecule: long non-coding RNA, 1370 nt
Filed under: Oryctolagus cuniculus (rabbit)
Lineage: Eukaryota; Metazoa; Chordata; Mammalia; Lagomorpha; Leporidae
Description: lncRNA (ENSOCUG00000035422.1)
Source: RNAcentral
CACUUCGGGCCGCUCAUCGAGGGCGACGUGGGCGAGUUCCUCCGUGGCCGCCGCGCAGGACGGCGCCUGGGCCGGCUACCCCGAGCUGCUGGCCAUGGGCGCAUGCUGAACCUCAACAUCCACCUGACGACGGGGGGCCGCUGGGAGAGCCCCACCGUGUCCACCAUGGUCCACUACCUGGGGCCCCGAGGACGCCCUGAGGCCCAGCAUCUGGCUCAGCUGGCUCAGCAACGGCCACUACGACGCGGUGUUCGACCGCUGCUACCCCCAACCCGGAGUACGAGCGCUGGUGCCGGCAGACGCAGGCGCAGCGGCAGCGCGACGAGGAGCUGGCCAGGUCCAUGGCCGUGUCCCUGUCCAAGAUGUACAUCCAGCAGAACGCGUGCUCAGCUCUGGGCGCCCCCGCUGCCUCCUCCUGGCCUGCUGAUGCCUCGCCGCGUGGAUCUGGUCCCUUCCCGGCACUCUAUUUUAUAUAUUAAAAAAGAAGAAGAAGAAAUAAUGUAUUUUUGCACAACCUUUUUAGAGACUGGCGGCCCGCCCUCGCGGGAUGCGACGGGCGGCUUUCGGAAACUGCUUUCCACGACCUUGCUCUCUGGGACAGGCAUCCGUGGCGGGUGGGCCUUCUGUCGUGGACGUGGGAGUCUCGCCGUCCUCUCUGAUUCCGCGUGGACGCGGAUGCGUGCGUGUAUCCGGAUGCUCCACCCAUUCCGUGUUGACAGAGUUGUUGUUACGGAAAUCAUUAUUUUUCUAGAGAUGGUCGAUUUUUUUUUUUUUUUAAGAACCCAAGGGAAGGUGUGGGAAGAUUCUGUUUGUUUUCCUUCAGAGGCAGUGCCAGGUCUUACUUGAAUCAAAGUCUUGAUUUCUGCUGUGGGCGGAGUGCCCGUGAUGGCUGCUCUCGGGUGUGUGCAGUGGGUGUCUGCCCUCGUUGCUUUAUCUCCAACUGUCACUUUGUUACACGAGGAUUUCCACUCCAGUCUGUGACCAGAUAAACCUCCUGCUUCCUGGCUUCUUGGAUUCAGCUAAAGAGAUCUGGAAACCAAGGUAAACGCCUGGAGCCAGCCCUGGCAGGAAUUUGACGGCAGGAAAAUACUGUCUUAAUAUUGUGUUCAAAAGGCAAAAUAGGAGUCCCCUGUGUUCUGUCAAGAUGUCUGUGAACAGAGCUUGUGUGGUUUGCUGGGUCAAACGAUGUUUCCAACCUACACUCUAUCUCAUUGCCACUUUACCUAUUUUUAGUCCUAUUUAUUAAGUAAUGCAGUUUGUACUUUUUUAUUUUGUAACAUUUUGUGAUUUUUUUGUACAAUACUGUAUUUGAGCAAUUCUCAGCUGAUGGAAUGAAUAAAAUGGCAUAAUUUUACUUUUACGACGUCUCU